Molecule: non-coding RNA, 74 nt
Organism: Pangasianodon gigas (Mekong giant catfish)
Lineage: Eukaryota; Metazoa; Chordata; Actinopteri; Siluriformes; Pangasiidae
Source: the annotation of a GenBank genome assembly
GGCAGUGGGGGCUUAGUGGUUACAGCUCUGGGAAACUAAUCAGAAGUUUGUGGGUUCAAGCCCCAGCACUGCCA